RNAcentral lists this long non-coding RNA (449 nucleotides) under Ictidomys tridecemlineatus (thirteen-lined ground squirrel). RNAcentral's name for it is "lncRNA (ENSSTOG00000032105.1)". The record is from RNAcentral. Lineage: Eukaryota; Metazoa; Chordata; Mammalia; Rodentia; Sciuridae.
UGACCUUGAGUUAGUACAAACUGAUGGUUUUUAUCAAUAAUAUUCUGUUUUUACCUACAAGUCUCUGGAGAGAAAGAAAGUAUCCUACAAAUUCCUUGGGGAUUAUAAACUCACCACCAAAGUUUCAGCUGUCCCCUUGCUUGCUGUCCAUCUUCAGUGAUGACCAGACUUUCCCAAUAUGGCAGACAAGAGAAUUUUCCCAUUCUAGAGCCAAGAAUCUUGGAUUUUCGAGGUGUGUAGACCAUAUCAAGGGUCAUGCUGGUCAACUUUAUAUCGCUCUGACCAAAAUAUCUGACAAAAACAACUUGGAAGAGGAAAAGUUUAUUUUGGUUCAUAGUUUCAGAGGUCUCAGUACUUGGUAAGUAGACUCCUUUGCUCUGGGCCCAAGAUGAGGCAGAGUAUCAUGGCAGAAUGGCCUGGUGGAGGAAAGUGUCUUAGCUUGUUGUUGU